Molecule: ribosomal RNA, 183 nt
Filed under: uncultured Staphylococcus sp.
Lineage: Bacteria; Bacillati; Bacillota; Bacilli; Caryophanales; Staphylococcaceae
Description: partial 16S ribosomal RNA
Rfam family: Bacterial small subunit ribosomal RNA
Source: RNAcentral
ACCGGAGCUAAUACCGGAUAAUAUUUUGAACCGCAUGGUUCAAAAGUAAAGACGGUCUUGCUGUCACUUAUAGAUGGAUCCGCGCUGCAUUAGCUAGUUGGUAAGGUAACGGCUUACCAAGGCAACGAUGCAUAGCCGACCUGAGAGGGUGAUCGGCCACACUGGAACUGAGACACGGUCCAG